UACGUAGGGUGCGAGCGUUGUCCGGAAUUAUUGGGCGUAAAGAGCUCGUAGGCGGUUUGUCGCGUCGACUGUGAAAACCUGGGGCUUAACUCUGGGCCUGCAGUCGAUACGGGCAGACUUGAGUUCGGUAGGGGAGACUGGAAUUCCUGGUGUAGCGGUGAAAUGCGCAGAUAUCAGGAGGAACACCCAUUGCGAAGGCAGCUCGCUGGGACGUUACUGACGCUGAGACGCGAAAGCGUGGGGAGCAAACAGG
RNAcentral lists this ribosomal RNA (253 nucleotides) under uncultured bacterium. Its description in RNAcentral is "partial 16S ribosomal RNA". It matches the Rfam family "Bacterial small subunit ribosomal RNA", at positions 524 to 776 of the family's 1533-position model. The record is from RNAcentral.